GUCCACACGGUAAACGAUGGAUACUCGCUGUUGGCGAUAUACGGUCAGCGGCCAAGUGAAAACGUUAAGUAUCCCACCUGGGGAGUACGCCGGCAACGGUGAAACUCAAAGGAAUUGACGGGGCCCGCACAAGCGGAGGAACAUGUGGUUUAAUUCGAUGAUACGCGAGGAACCUUACCCGGGCUUGAACUGCACCCGAAUUUACCGGAGACGGUAAAGCCGCAAGGCGGGUGUGGAGGUGCUGCAUGGUUGUCGU
Molecule: ribosomal RNA, 256 nt
Filed under: uncultured bacterium
Lineage: Bacteria
Description: partial 16S ribosomal RNA
Rfam family: Bacterial small subunit ribosomal RNA
Source: RNAcentral